This 221-nucleotide long non-coding RNA is filed under the name Solanum tuberosum (potato). Its description in RNAcentral is "long non-coding RNA (STUB_LNC001693)". Lineage: Eukaryota; Viridiplantae; Streptophyta; Magnoliopsida; Solanales; Solanaceae. The record is from RNAcentral.
UAUUACACUUUCUCAAAUGUGUUCUUAGUCGUCCCGUUCCCCCUUGUGUACCCGUAGUUACAUGUUUCAUGAUCAAUUUACAUUUCGUGCAAGUAACAGUAGUUUUUUCCUCAUUUUGUACCAAAAAUUUCCAUACUAAAGAUCUUUUAACACGUACAACGGUCUUUGAAAAAGUAGGUAAAGAGGGGCUUCAUCUUGUUCCAGUAAUUCGGUAGCCGGAC